AACAUCCACUUAUUACUUUUAUUAAUAUCGUAUUGGGUUAAGAAAUGAACUCGCAGUUAUCAGUUGGAUGUACUCAGGCCAGGCCGAAGCUUCCGACUGGCGCACUUAAAAAAAAAAAAGCUGAACGUCAGUUGGAAGUCAGACCCUCAUCCCGGCGGUCAGCGCUAAUUAUCCGUUAGGAACAGUUUGACUGCAGCUCUUUUUUUUAAAUUUAGCUAUGAAUAGAGACGAUAUUGUAGUUAAGGUUGUGUCCGGGAGCUUGCUCAGUGACCCACUGUGUUUAUAAACGAAGCUAUGAUAAAAAUAUAUUUGUAUUUGCCGGUUUACCAAGGAAAACAUCAUGCUAGUAACAGCCUAAUUACAAGUGUAAGGCUGCAGUCAGUAGGAUUUACGAAGGGAUUAUAUAUAAAAUGAAGAAAUUACCUGUUUUGCAGUAAAGAAGAAGACCGCAACCACAGAGCAGUCAUGCAUGCAUGGCUGUAAACAUCCACACUGUCAGUAAAAAGCAGCCAGACAGGCUACAUCAUCACGUCCAGGAACUGCUUCCCCACCUCCUGCUAUCAGUGUGGUUAUUAAAGUCUCCCACGUUUCAUUCUUGUUGGAGCAGGUUAAACAAAUCUCCUAAGCACUGCAGGCUCUUCUCUGCUUUGUCCCAAAGAGAGCACCAGCAGCUAUGCUUGCCUUUUGGUUGGUGGCAGAGCAGGAACAUGUGGUCAUGCAGCGGCCAAUGCCGAGCCCUGAGCAGGCGAUCGGUGCUGUCAGAGCAGCAGCAGCAGCAGCAGCAGUGCUGGCACUGAAAAGGAACUCUGCAGAAAGAAGCCCAUCUAAAAGAGACAGAGAGA
This is a long non-coding RNA of Archocentrus centrarchus (flier cichlid), 842 nucleotides long. RefSeq lists it as uncharacterized. The transcript is spliced from 3 exons. NCBI's taxonomy places the organism in Eukaryota, Metazoa, Chordata, Actinopteri, Cichliformes, Cichlidae. The record is from RefSeq and is a predicted model, not a curated record.